This 21-nucleotide non-coding RNA is filed under the name Caenorhabditis elegans. The record is from RNAcentral. Lineage: Eukaryota; Metazoa; Nematoda; Chromadorea; Rhabditida; Rhabditidae.
UUGAAAAAAUCGCAUUGUUUC